CAGAAGUCAGGUCGGAUUAAGCCAUAGUACGGAAAAAACUAUGCUACCUGUGAGCCCCGUCCAAGGACGUUAAAAGAAGUCAGGCCACUACAAGUGCCAUAGCUUGAGUAAACUAUGCAGCCUGUAGCUCCACCUGAG
Molecule: long non-coding RNA, 138 nt
Filed under: dengue virus type 2
Lineage: Riboviria; Orthornavirae; Kitrinoviricota; Flasuviricetes; Amarillovirales; Flaviviridae
Description: Dengue virus type 2 partial sfRNA1
Source: RNAcentral